GGAUCCUAAUAAGAUAUGCUUCUCUAUACCAUAGUAUUGAAAACACUGUUGAUUAGAGGCCGGGUGCGGUGGCUCUAAACAAAACAGGCAGCAGGUCCUGGUUCUGAAGGCAGGGCUGUGGCCCCACAUACCCCAGGCUUCCAGGUCUGGCUCUUCCACUUGCCAGCAAUAUGACCUUGGGCAAGUUAUUUUUCUCUCCCUUCAGUUUCCUCAUAAUGCAAAAUGGAGCUAAUAAUAGUACCUACGUCACAGAACUCAUGGAGAUGGAAUGAGGGUGCACAGGAUACACAUAAAGAAUACCAACUUGCACACAGCAACCACUCUACAAGUGAGAGCAACUAUUAUUACAAUUAUUAUCUUCCCAUUUUUCCUAUAUUAAAAAUGUGCAACUGUGAUUUUUAUCCCUAAAAAUAGAUCCAUUAACUGUUCUCUAGCAUACAAUUAAUAUUACGCAGUUGUAAAUCCAUGAUAAAAGAGUAAAUAAGCCUAAGUUUUCUUCCUAUAAACUGCCCACACUGAAAUUGUGCACCUGCCAAGUACAACAUACAGGACAAUGCUUUAAGCAACCUCCCACUUUUAGCAGUAAAUCAAAGUCCUCAAGCUG
RNAcentral lists this long non-coding RNA (604 nucleotides) under Homo sapiens (human). RNAcentral describes it as "HSALNT0078891". Lineage: Eukaryota; Metazoa; Chordata; Mammalia; Primates; Hominidae. The record is from RNAcentral.